CAGCAUGGUGAGGGGGGAUGGGGACACGCUCAGCUGAACAGGACAACAGCUGAGUGAGUAGCUCCUGGCCAGAGCUUUGGACAACCCCAGGUUUGCCCCUGCCAUGGGCAUGGCUGAAGGGCGCAUCCUGAAGGUCCUGAAGGCCUGCAGGUGUUCAUGGUGCAAAAACUGGACACGGGAUGCUGAAUCCCGGAUGUGUGAGGCUUUGCAGAAACCACCGCCCAUGUCCAGCCACAUAAAUCCACAGGGCUACAGAGAUGAUGGAAGCUGCCCGGUCAGUGUCUGCAAUGGGAGGUGUUGCUUCAGAGGAAGGAUUUGCUCACGCAGAGGAAAACUUCACGUGAAUUAACUAACGUGUGAAUUGAAAGUGGAUUAGCAAUGCCACAUAAAUGGAUGGAUCCCUUGGAUUCUUCUCUUCGGAAUUAAACCGGUCCUAAUUUGAUUCAGAGUAAUAAUGAAAGAGGAUGUUAUACAGGCUUUAAUGAGAUCUAAUGUUCUCACCACAAAAGUUAGCCUGGGUUUAUUUCUUGUGUCUCCCAGCAGGGGUGGGAUUGGAAUGUAGGGCUGAAUUUUUUUAGUAGGAAACUUAUAUUGUCUUUACUGCAG
RNAcentral lists this long non-coding RNA (606 nucleotides) under Gallus gallus (chicken). Lineage: Eukaryota; Metazoa; Chordata; Aves; Galliformes; Phasianidae. The record is from RNAcentral.